RNAcentral lists this ribosomal RNA (253 nucleotides) under uncultured bacterium. RNAcentral describes it as "partial 16S ribosomal RNA". It matches the Rfam family "Bacterial small subunit ribosomal RNA", at positions 524 to 776 of the family's 1533-position model. The record is from RNAcentral.
GACAUAGGUGGCAAGCGUUAUUCGGAAUUACUGGGCGUAAAGCGUGCGUAGGCGGUUUGUUAAGUCUGUCGUGAAAGCCCCGGGCUCAACCUGGGAAUGGCGAUGGAUACUGGCGAGCUAGAGUACGGUAGAGGAGAGUGGAAUUCCCGGUGUAGCAGUGAAAUGCGUAGAGAUCGGGAGGAACAUCAGUUGCGAAGGCGGCUCUCUGGACCAGUACUGACGCUGAGGCACGAAAGCGUGGGGAGCAAACAGG